This 85-nucleotide non-coding RNA is filed under the name Vogesella indigofera. Lineage: Bacteria; Pseudomonadati; Pseudomonadota; Betaproteobacteria; Neisseriales; Chromobacteriaceae. The record is from RNAcentral.
UUCUAUGGCGGGCCGGCGGGGAGACCUUUGGGUCUGCCGGUGUCCGUGGAGCCGGUUCGCCAACCCCGUUCGGUCUGCCACCCCC